GUGCAUGACCUCAGAUUUUUUCUUUCGUCGGUCGAUGCUUGAGAUCAACGGCCAAGCGGUGCUCCAUGACUUCCAUGUCGAUCCCCGGCAUGUCCGUCGGAACCCAAGCGAAGACAUCUGCAUUCUUUCGUAGAAAAUCGAUGAGACGCAUCCGCACCUCUUCCCCCAGGUUGGAGCCGAUCAUCGCCACAUGUUCCGCAUUCCCGUCGUUCAGAGGGAUCGGUACCAGAUCUUCAAUUGGACCGCCCCUCUCUUCAGUGAGGUCGUCGCGAGCAUCCAGCCCAUCAACUGGACAGGGGUCGGAUUGGUCGCUUCGUUGCAAGGCUAUGUUGUAACAGUGUCUGGCCAGGGCUUGGUCUCCUCAGACCUCUCCGAUCCCCUGGCUGGUGGAGAAUUUCAACUUCAAAUGGUAGGUUGACACGACGAUUCGGAGAGCAUUGAGGCCAGGUCGGUCGAGGAUUGAAUUGUAGGCUGACGGCGCCUUAACCACCAAGAAAUUUACCAGAGCCUUGAAUUGUCUUGGAUAUCGACCCGC
This 535-nucleotide long non-coding RNA is filed under the name Elaeis guineensis (African oil palm). RNAcentral describes it as "long non-coding RNA (EGUI_LNC041406)". The record is from RNAcentral. Lineage: Eukaryota; Viridiplantae; Streptophyta; Magnoliopsida; Arecales; Arecaceae.